Molecule: long non-coding RNA, 4164 nt
Filed under: Podarcis lilfordi (Lilford's wall lizard)
Lineage: Eukaryota; Metazoa; Chordata; Lepidosauria; Squamata; Lacertidae
Source: RNAcentral
AAGUUGUCCAAGGGAAUUUCCUUCUAACCAGUGAAAAUCCCACUGAUUUGCCCUCCAAGAGCAUUGAUUAAUAGGAUUUCUAAAAUAAUUCAACACACAGGGCUCUUGAACUUUCUUCGCCCCCUUGAAACUAUUUAUUUAUUUUAAACAUUUAUAUACUGCCCGUUGUCAAAAGAUCACAAGGCCGUUUACGACGUAGAACAUAAUAAACAAUAUAUGUCAUUACACAACAUACUAACCAUACAAUGCAAAAAAAUAAUAAUUAAACAGUUGUAUAAAUACAAUACAUACUAAUACAAAAUAGUUCAUAAUACAUACUUGUACAUUAUGCAUAAUAAACGUAAUGAAAAUAUAAUAAACAGCAAUGUCUAAUUAUAUCCAAUAUCAUCCCAGCAAUAUCCCCUGUAAAAUAGUGUCUCAUAACUUAAGUGGUUACCUGCUUAUCUCAGGUGAAAGAUAAAACAUGAUAUACAUCUAGGGCCAGAUUCAACUAAACAGCUGUGCUAGCAGGAGCCAGUGCUAGAAUUUCUGCUAGUGCAAUGGGACUUUUCCCUCUCCCCUACCCCCCCCCCGUGCAUCCCCUCUACUCGCCCCCCCCCACUCCACCUCAGUUUGGCUCAGGGAGUCAGGAGAACCCCUAGAACAGCACACAGGGGGAAGAGAAGGGAGACGCUUCCAUCUGACAAGCUGAAAUGGCUAUGCUGACGGAAGCAGGCUGUCAUUCUGCAACGAUGAAUUCUACCCCUUUUAACAUUAGCAUGCUAAAAAAAUAAAUAAAAGGAGGGGGGAAUCAGCUGCAGGAUAUCUAAAGUUUAGAAACAGUGGGCAAGUGCCUCUACUUCUCUCUGUACAAAACUAGUUCUUAAUCCCCACCUCUGCAGAAAAUAGCAAACUCUUUCAGCUCCCAGCUGGGAGCUUUCCUGUCCUCUCCAAGUCUCUCACCCUGAGACUCCACUUCCCUACCUCUCUCACUCAUGGUCCUUCCACCAUCUAUCUACAGUGAUGCAGUGACUAACCCCAUCUCUUCCACCAACUAUCUUGGACUUGUUGUUGUUUAAUCGUUUAGUCGUGUCCGACUCUUCAUGACCCCAUGGACCAGAGCACGCCAGGCACUCCUGUCUUCCACUGCCUCCCGCAGCUUGGUCAAACUCAUGCUGGUAGCUUCAAGAACACUGUCCAACCAUCUCAUUCUCUGCCAUCCCUUCUCCUUGUGCCCUCCAUCUUUCCCAACAUCAGGGUCUUUUCCAGGGAGUCUUCUCUUCUCAUGAGGUGGCCAAAGUAUUGGAGCCUCAGCUUCACAAUCUGUCCUUCCAGUGAGCACUCAGGGCUGAUUUCCUUCAGAAUGGAUAGGUUUGAUCUUCUUGCAGUCCAUGGGACUCUCAAGAGUCUCCUCCAGCACUAUAAUUCAAAAGCAUCAAUUCUUCGGCGAUCAGCCUUCUUUAUGGUCCAGCUCUCACUUCCAUACAUCACUACUGGGAAAACCAUAGCUUUAACUGUACGGACCUUAGUCAGCAAGGUGAUGUCUCUGCUUUUUAAGAUGCUGUCUAGGUUUGUCAUUGCUUUUCUCCCAAGAAGCAGGCGUCUUUUAAUUUCGUGACUGCUGUCACCAUCUGCAGUGAUCAUGGAGCCCAAGAAAGUAAAAUCUCUCACUGCCUCCAUUUUUCCCACUUCUAUUUGCCAGGAGGUGAUGGGACCAGUGGCCAUGAUCUUAGUUUUUUUGAUGUCAUAGAAUUGGUCAAUUUCAGUUUCUUUAGCACCGGUAAUUGGUGCAUAAACUUGGAUUACUGUGAUGUUAAAAGGUCUGAUCUUAGACUACGUAUCCUAAAAUAUUCACAAGUCCCCUUGUUUCACUGGUUCAAGACAGAAGAGAAUGAUGGAGAAGAGUUUGAAAUACCUUAUACAGUCGUACCUUGGAAGUCAAACGGAAUCCGUUCCAGAAGUCCGUUCGACUUCCAAAACGUUCGAAACCCAAAUUGCGGCUUCUGAUUGGCUGCAGGAAACUUCUGCAACCAAUCGGAGACCGUGGAAGCCCCGUCAGACCUUCGGGUUCCAAAGAAUGUUCGCAAACCAACUCUCACUUCUGGGUUUGCUGCGUUCGAGAGCCAAAACAUCUGAGUACCAAGGCAUUUGGGAUCCAAGGUACGACUGUAUUGUGACACUCACUCCACUUCUCUGGUCAGACUUCCAGGCAUACAGUAUGUGGGGCUGGGGCUUGCCAGGCCUCCCCAUGGUGGCGGUGGGCUUCCGCAUGGCAGCAGUGAGCCUUGUGGGGCCUCAUGGCCUCCUCCUGACGCAUGUGCACAACGAGCCCCUCCCCAUAUGUCAGGUGCAACUCGGCGCCUCUACCUGCUAUUAAAUUUGGGGGGAAACUGAGAUAGUUGCUGGGGGUACAUUUAGCAUCACACACAGUUUGUACCAGAGUUUUCUCUUUCUUGGUUUCAAACACUGCAGUCUAUUGUUCUCCUGGUACACAGACACCUAGAUUACAUCAUCCAUAAAGUGGGGAUGUCUAAUAUGCUUUCAGGCAUUUCAGAAGUCUUAAGGAAAAUGGCCUUAUAAUUAGUUCCCAUGGAAACACAUUCCUGGGCUAUUAACUCUCUUUUGUCAAGUUCAAGGCUCUGGCCAAGUAUUGCCUCAGGGCAGCCCAUACUGAUAACUCUACCCACAGAAAACAGUAUUUUAAAACAGGCAGGCAGAGCAGGUAAGAGGCAAGUAGCUAUUUAUGUUGUUAGCUGUUAUGAACAUAAUAAGCAGAAGGUGGAUGCACACAUACGAAAUAAAGCCAGCCAGGCGCUACUAGUCCCCAAGCAAGUUCAGCCUCCAAAAUCAGGAUCAGUACCUCUAGCAAAGCAGCUCCUAAAAUUUAGAAUUAUAGUGUUCUCUUGCAAGACAAAUUAUUUUCAUUUCUGUCUUGGUUGUGGUCAGUGCUUCUCUGCAAGAAGGGCAUUGCAAGAAAUCUGUUCUGAGAGGGGCAGUAGUUACACCUUUACUGAAGAAGCCUUCUCUCAACUUGGUGAUUUUGGAAAUUACGGACCAGUUUCAAAUCCAACAGUUUUGGCUAAAAUGGCUGAGCGAGCAAUGAAUCAGUCUCUUUAUGACUUAGGGUUGAUUUAGGGCUCAUCCGCUUGACUCACCACUUUCCCCAGGGGCGAACACACUUUUUACCUCUGGACCAGAUCAAAGUCAAGUGGGUUUUCUGUGGAAUGAUGUUUAUUGUGAUUUAGACCUGAGUAACAGGUUGGAAAGGCAAAACCUCCUGGACCUGGGCUUUUCCUUCUCCAGGUGACCUAUUGUGAUUUGACAUGUACCUUCUUUCAGCUGAUAUUAUCCUGUAAUAUAGGGGUAGCCAGAAUGGUACCCUCCAGAUGCUACUGAAUUACAACACUUCUAAUCCCUGUCUAUUGGCCAUGCUGGUGGGGUUGGGAGUCCAGCAACAUCUGAAGGGCACCGUAAUGGCUGCCCCUGCAUACACCAAUAUCCUGCCUUUCUUUCAUCACGGAACUUGAGGUUAGCAUUCAUGGGAUUCUCAGGCAAACUCUCAUCAAAGCGCAGACCAAAUCCAGACCUGCUCAGCUUCAGCAACAUGACUGCUUGUAUCAUGUGCCCUGAUAUUCUGCCUGCAUCCCUUUCUGGAAAACAACAAUCCUGCCUGGCUUGCAUAUCCCAGUGUCUUCUCAACCUGAUUACUAUAAUAAAUCACCCCUUGGGCUGCCCUUGAAGACAGUUAAAAAACUUUACUGUUAUGAACUUUACCAGUUCAUAACAUAGAGCAAAGCUUUCAUCAAGUGCUAACCAAGGGACUAAGAUCUAAUAAUAAAAAAUAAAGAAAUGUUAUUACUGCUAAAGGUGACUUUGCAGGGCUUAAUAUAAUUUUAAAUAUGUUUGAUGUCUUUAGAAGGCUGCCUUCAUGAAAACUAUUCCAUAUUAAAAGGCCACAUUUUGUUUUCUGCAUAUUCACCGGUUCUGUUCCCACAAUAGUCCAAGUUGGGGAAUUCUCCAGAGGCAACCAGUAUGGUAUGAGGGACUGCAGUCUGCAGCGAAAUAUUUCAAAAGCCCUGAAGCAUCUAUGUGUGUGCAUGCAAGGAUCUCUAGAUUCCAACCCUUAUUAUUACUGUAUUGUGAACCAGAAUAAUUGCUAUAAUUAAACAGGUAUUACAAGCUCAG